UAAGACCUCAAAUCAGGUGGGACUACCUGCUGAACUUAAGCAUAUCAAUAAGCAGAGGAAAAGAAACUAACCAGGAUUCCCCUAGUAAUGGCGAGUGAAGAGGGAAAAGCCCAAAUUUGUAAUCUGGCUCUUUUUAAAGGAGUCUGAGUUGUAAUUUUGAGAACUGUUUUCAGUGCUGGACCAUGUACAAGUCUGUUGAAAAACAGCAUCAUUGAGGGUGAUAAUCCCGUUCAUGAUAUGGACUACCAAGUGCAAUAUGAUACAGUCUCUAAGAGUCGAGUUGUUUGGGAAUGCAGCUCAAAAAGGGYGGUAAAUUCCAUCUAAGGCUAAAUAUUGAUGAGAGACCGAUAGCAAACAAGUACCGUGAGGGAAAGAUGAAAAGAACUUUGGAAAGAGAGUUAACAGUACGYGAAAUUGUUAAAAGGGAAACAAUUGAAGUUAGUCUUGUUAUUAUUGGUUCAGCUUUAAAUAGUGUAUYCCAAUUUUUAACAGAUCAACAUCAAUUCUUGGGUGUUGGAUAAGGGUCUUGUGAAAUGUAGCAGCUUUUUUGCUGUGUUAUAGUCUGAAACUUUGAUACAGUGCCUAGGAUUGAGGAAUGCAGUGAGC
This 606-nucleotide ribosomal RNA is filed under the name Tranzschelia fusca. RNAcentral describes it as "eukaryotic LSU rRNA". It matches the Rfam family "Eukaryotic large subunit ribosomal RNA", at positions 1 to 612 of the family's 3401-position model. The record is from RNAcentral. Lineage: Eukaryota; Fungi; Basidiomycota; Pucciniomycetes; Pucciniales; Raveneliaceae.